Molecule: non-coding RNA, 261 nt
Organism: Miniopterus natalensis
Lineage: Eukaryota; Metazoa; Chordata; Mammalia; Chiroptera; Miniopteridae
Source: RefSeq, a predicted model, not a curated record
AAGCUGUGGAAAUGUAAGGACUCAGCCUCUACACACGUUCUGUUGGUUGUCCUCAGAGUGGGAGCACUUGUGUCUUACUAACAGGGGCCCCCUCUUCUGUUGUCGGGCGCUGACUAUAGCACGUGUCGGUGGAACUGGAACGAAAACACGGGACAAAUCGGCCAGCUCUAGGAAUCACCCCUUAUCUUCUUGCCUUCCAAGCAGCACUGUGUGAGACCAGGCAUGAAGAAUGAUUGGGAAAACAAGCCCUUCUGUGCUGCU